CCCAACCCCAGACUGCAAGUAGCCACUCAUUCAUUCCACAAAUACUCUCUGAGGGCCUGUUCUAUGCAGGCUAUGUGCCAAGGGUUUACACCCUAGGAGCAGUGCCACCCCAGUAUCUGUCCCCCGUGACCAGUGACUGCCCCUCCUCUAUAAUAUCUAUUGACUGACCUCUCUGACCUCACCUCAUUUCUUUCCUCCAGUGCCCCGGCUCCAGCAGUCCAUGGAUCCUGCCCCCUUUGCAUGUCCCUCAGCCUGCCUGCCCUCCGUGUCCUUCCUGCCCAGCCUACAAUUCAUGGUCAGGCCCCACCCCCACCCCCUCCUGCGGUCCUGACAAAACCCCAACACUGGUCAGUCCCACUGCUCCACCUCCACCGCAUCUCACCUGCACUUGCGCAGCUCAAUGUCACACCACCUUGCCAGCUGCUUCCCUUUCAACUCAUGACACAAAACCCAAGAGGGCCCUUAGUGGAUGUCAGGAUCAGUCACUGUCCCCAUGACCCUUGCACCCCUCUUUUCUCCUCUCUAUAAAAUAAGGGUGAUAAUAUUUCUGUCUCCCGGGGCUGUUGGCAGCAUCAGUAGUAGGUCCUUGCUCGGGGGCAGCUACUGGGGUUAGUUCCUCUGGUGCUCAGUCCAAGAGUUCCCUGGUGUCUUGGUGUCCGCGGAGUCCCACCCUGCGGUCAUUUAUUUUGUUCCGCUGGUUGGGCAGGCCUGGGCUCUCUGCCAGAUCUGAUCAUCCUCCCAGAGACAGGAGGGAACGGAAUGUGGCACCAGGCAGUAAGACGCAUGGCUGAGCUCAGCAGGAGAGGGAAGCUUCCAACUUCCUGCAGCGAAUGUCCUAGGUGAUAGGUCAAGUCUGACCCCGCCAGUGAGGCCAACAUGGAAACUUACUAGGGCCUCGAAAAGGUGUGUGUGGGAGUUCAGAGAGGAGUGGAGACAGCCGGCCUCCCAAUCUGGACCCACAGGGCAGGGCAGGGAGAGGAGAUGGCCCCGCCUCCAGGAAUCCAGGCUGCACCUCCCUCCAGGGAACUCAGAUCAAAGCCAGGAGGAAGGAGGAGUGUGAACUUUGCACCCAGUGACUCACUGCAUCCCCCUAGGGCAAGUGCUCUCACCCGUGCAGAAUCCUGCCCUCCUUGCCACUGACGGGACCAUCCGCACUGGGUCAGCCUAUGAGCAACACUGACCUGAUUCACCUGCACGCCUUCAUUCCCCCACCUUCAUCCUCCUCCUCGCAGAGGUGAUCAGAUGUUUGCAGGUGCCUGCCUGUGUUUACAAAAUCCAUCCCAGGAAACCACAUGACAUUUGGUCAUCUGCCAUUGCAUUCCUUUACGUGUAUGAUCAAGUGGUUCCCUGAGGGCUUUGAUGAUCAGGGCAGAGGCAGAAGGCACCACCUCAAUCUGGGCCUGUCUGUUCUGAAUGGUCAGUUUCACUGUAAUCCUCAGGCCCUUCCGGUAACCCGUUGCCUUGGCAAUGUUAUCACCAACCUUUUUUGGAGACAGACCCAGGGGGCCGAUCUUGGGGGCCAGCGCAGAAGCAGCGACUUCACCUCCAGUGCACCUCAGGCGUGUUCCUGGUGGUCUGAUUGACAGGCAUCAACGUGACCAUGGAGGGAGUGACGGCUAGAGAAUUUCAGGGUUCACAAGAUGAAGCCAGUGACUCAUGAACUAAGCUGAAAUCUCUCAGCCUAAUACUUCCCUUUCUCUCACAGCAACUCUCCAUGAUAGAUUAGAACUGUUCCAACUUGGCUGGGCAUGGUGACUCACGCCUGUAAUCCCAGCUAUUUGGGAGGCCAAGGUGGGAGGAUUGCUUGAGCCCAGGAGUUUGAGACCAGCCUGAGCAACAUAGUGGGACUCCAUCUCUAUUUAUUUAUUUAUUUAUUUUGAGAUGGAGUUUUGCUCUUGUUGCCCAGGCUAGAGUGCAAUGGCGCGAUCUCAGCUCACUGCAACCUCCACCUCCCAAGUACAAGGGAUUCUCCUGUCCCAGCCUAUCAAGUAGCUCAUAUUACAGGCAUGUGCCACCAGGCCCGGCUAACUUUUUUGUAUUUAGUAGAGAUGGGGUUUCAUCAUGUUAGUCAGGCUGGUCACGAACUCCUGACCUCAGGCUAUCUACCCGCCUUGGCCUCCCAAAGUGCUGGGAUUACAGGCAUGUGCCACCGUGCCUGGCCUCUUUUUUUUUUUUUUUUGAGACGGAGUCUCGCUCUGUCACCAGGCUGGAAUGCUAUGGCGCAAUCUCGGCUCACUGCAACCUCCGCCUCUCAGGUUUAAGCAAUUCUCUUGCCUCAGCCUCCUGAGUACCUGGGAUUACAGGUGCGCACCAACACACCCAGCUAAUUUUUUUGUAUUUUUAAUAGAGUCGGGGUUUCACCAUGUUGGCCAGGAUGGUCUUGAUCUCUUGACCUCGUGAUCUGCCUGCCUUGGCCUCCCAAAGUGUUAAAAUUACAGGCAUGAGCCACCAC
RNAcentral lists this long non-coding RNA (2452 nucleotides) under Homo sapiens (human). Its description in RNAcentral is "HSALNT0002145". Lineage: Eukaryota; Metazoa; Chordata; Mammalia; Primates; Hominidae. The record is from RNAcentral.